Small nucleolar RNA from Solea solea (common sole), 70 nucleotides. Lineage: Eukaryota; Metazoa; Chordata; Actinopteri; Pleuronectiformes; Soleidae. The record is from RefSeq and is a predicted model, not a curated record.
UGGCAAUGAUGUUUGAAUUUCUUCACCUGAUGAACUGUGAUGGUAUUUGAGCUUUUUAACCCUGAGCAAU